RNAcentral lists this long non-coding RNA (1525 nucleotides) under Vigna radiata. RNAcentral's name for it is "long non-coding RNA (VRAD_LNC011548)". The record is from RNAcentral. Lineage: Eukaryota; Viridiplantae; Streptophyta; Magnoliopsida; Fabales; Fabaceae.
CAGAACAGAAGUCACAUGUAUUGGACAAAACCAACACAGCCAACAAGACAAGCAAGAAAACAGGGUAAUUUAUAAAGGCUGGCAUGCAAAUUGAACCUAAGGAAUAGAACUAGAUCAGAUUUUAAAGCAAUAAAAAGGACCUAAGUUGAACCAAUACUGAACAGAUUUGAUUUACAUAUUGCAUACCAAACUGUUUAACAUUGUGCAUCAGAGAAACUGGUUUUAUUUUUCAUAUUUGAUGUUCUACAUUAGAUGCCGCUAUUGUGAAUUGCACUAAGUCCUUCAACUCUUUUUUUUAUUAUGACUUGUCACAAUAGGAUUAAUCCUUGUCUGUUUCAAAUGUGAUUGACUUAUAGCUCUUGNUACAAUUCACAAUAGACGAAGAUCAAUGCAGUUUACAAAUCAACACUUUACUUGCAUCAGAUUAAUGGUUCAACUUAAUAAGAAAAAGAACACAUACAGAAUUGGUUUCAUUGAUAACUUUUGCUUCUAGCAUCAAAUGAAUAUCUGAACAUAACAGUGUCUUAAAAAUAGUAGAAUUACUAUUGCUAAGCUCACUGGUAUAUCAGAAUUGUCAUAUGCAACUGCAGCUUUUGAAGCAUAAAAAUUCACAUUUAACCAAAACUGUAGAAAGUGAAUUUGAAUAACAAAACAGCAAACACAAAUGACUCAAAGAUAGAGAUUAUAAACUGAACUUAGUAAGGAACUAAUACUAAGCAUAUUUGUCAAAAUAUCAUAGCUCAUAUAUGGUGAACAGAACUUACUCAGUGCAGAAAACUCAAAUGAAUCACAAAACACAAGCAACAGCUAGUUAAGCUCGAAUUUAAUUGACAAUUAAACGAAGCACAAGACUAGAACAUGACAGAAAUGUGAUUUCAAACUUAAAAAGACUCAAUAACAUAGAACCACCGAAUUAAAAUGAUGAAAUCAGACUCAAAGCACUGACUCAAAGCUUAAAACAAACACAGAUUACGCAAACUUGGAGACCUAACACAUAAAUGUAGAAUCAAGAACGAACAACAGAUUGAAUCCCAUUCAGACCUUUAAUCAAAUAGUUCAUGAGCAACAGUAAACAUAAUACUCAAGACAAUGAAGGCAAAGCUAUGAACAACGCGGAAAAAUUAACACAAAACGCAACAGGAUACUCAGAAUCAUAUGAAACUCAGACAAGACCGAAUCAAGAAAACACGAAACAGAGACACUUACCUUUGAAGCGUGGACACAACCUGGUGCUCUGAUGACCACUUGAUUGAAGAAGGCUCCAAGAAAAGGCCGUUUGAGACUGUGCGAAGACAAACUGGACCUCUUCGAAGCUUCUCCGAUGAAGAAAACGCAGCGGAAUGUUGAUACGCAGCUCUAGAUCGAGAUGAAUCGAAGGAAAAACUAAGAAACACAGGAUGAUCUGACAGAAACCCUAAAUCCCCAAAUUAAACGGUAGAAAACCCUAGAACGAAGAAGAAACCCUAAAAUUGGUGAGGCGACUCAAUCAAACCGAUUAAUCGGUUCAAAACAGUGGUUGAACGGU